Terrapene triunguis (Three-toed box turtle) is the source of this 121-nucleotide small nucleolar RNA. Ensembl annotates it as small nucleolar RNA SNORA5. The record is from Ensembl. Lineage: Eukaryota; Metazoa; Chordata; Testudines; Emydidae.
ACUCAUAUUGCCAAAUUUAGAACACACUCUAAGAUAAUGUGUUCUAGAUUUAGCACAGAACUUGAAACUGUUGGGGCUCAGUUUCCGUUAAGAUCUGGGAAAACUUGAGUUCUGGACUGCU